Molecule: long non-coding RNA, 212 nt
Organism: Cydia amplana
Lineage: Eukaryota; Metazoa; Arthropoda; Insecta; Lepidoptera; Tortricidae
Exons: 3
Source: RefSeq, a predicted model, not a curated record
CAAUAGAAAAUAGAAGAAGAAUACUAAUUGGACAUCUGCUAAGACACGACUUGGAAAGAGAAGGAGAGGAAGACCGACGAAAAAAUAUUUCAACCAAAUAAAAGAAAAGGUUCAGGUCGUGUCAUACCAGAAGGUUAAGGAGUUGGCAGAGGACCGGAUGUGUUGGAGAUUGCUCCACCGACAAGAACGCAGCUCUAAAAUAAGAAGAAGAA